GAAAGUUCAAAAUUUUCCAUAUUCAAUUGACCAAUGUGGUAACUGUUGUUUUGGAAUAUGUUCUCUAAUAACAAACUAAUCUUUUGCUGCCGCUUUGCGCGGGCCAAUUGCUAGUAUAUAUAUACCUUAAAAAACAUUUACCAUGUUUUGUUGAAUUUUAAGAGGUACAAGCCAUAACGCAAUAUACGCAAUAUGUACAAGAUGUAUCCGGUCAACUAUAGAAAACGUCAAACAACCUGAUCCAGUCAACAAAAACCCCUUAUCUUCACAUUCCCUCAUUUUUAGCUGCAAUUGAACAGUUUGGCAAUCAGUGACUGACUCCUUCAAAAUGGUAGACUCAUUCAAAGUUAUUAUUAACUUGAUAUACAAAUGAUAUAAAACCCAACGUCACUAUCAUCAAUUCACAUUAUAGCUUUGCUUGCAGGGUACACUACAAAAAAAAUGCCAAUUAGUGACGAAAAUGAAAUGGUCACUAACAAUUAAAGGAGUUGUCACUAUAUCAUUUAGUGACCAAACGUUUGGUCGUCACUUGUGGUCACUAUAGGUCCGUCACAAAAAUAGAUUAGUGACCAAAAUAUAAAAGCGGUCACUAAAUAGUGACCAAAAUAUAAUGGUCACUAAAUCUGUGACGACGAGCUUCGUCAUUAAAUGUUGUCACUAAUAAACGAAAGUCGUCACUGUUUUAUCUAAUUAGUGACCAUAAAAAGUCGUCACUCUCCUAUCUGAUUGGUGACCAUAAAAGUCGUCACUAGUUUAUCUAAUCACUGACCAUAAAAAGUUGUCACUCUCAUCUGAUUUGUGACCAUAGAAAGUCGUCACUAGCUUAUCCAACUAGUGACCACAAAAGUAGUCACUAAUUUAUCCAACUCGUUACGAAAAAAAAACAUCACUAUUUUUUGUUGCAAUUUCUUGUAUUUAACCAAUUUAAGUAACUUUAAGCGAACCUACAAUAUACAAUACUGAAAUGGCUAGAAUAUCAUAUGAAUCUUAGAACAAAGUUAAAAACAACCACCAAAAUAGAUUUCCAAAAACAGUAAGUUUUCCAAUUCUAACCCAGCUUACUCAUUUUAUAAACUAUACACAAAUAAUAGCUACAAAAUAAUGUGAUAUAGAUCCUUAUCAAGCGCUUUUGUUUGGAGGCCUUGUGACUAGCUUCCUCUAAGGCCAUUUUAAUUGACUUUUGCAUCUCUAACUGCCUACUUGCCUACAAAACAAAGACAUCAUUUAGGUUUUUUCGUUUAAUGAGAAGGGCAUUCUUGUCUUUUGCACAUGAAAUGGUGGGGGUGGGUGUUACCUCGAUUUUUGCUUGAUAAGAUUAUAUUAAGUUUUAUGCUAACCCAGAGACAAGAAACAUGCAGUGCUUUGCACGAGAGCAUGUGAAAAGAGUGUUAGACUUGGAGAAAAGGAGGAAAAAGCUUGAUUCACUGAGUAAAGAGCUUAACAAGAGGGAAGCUCUAACAGAAAGGGAGAAACAAAAGCCAAAGCCUUCACUGAUAUGGUCUAAAAGUAGAAAAUCUCAAUUUAUCAAGAAAACCUAAUUGUUCAUAUUAUUAUAUUUUGCUACAAUCUUGAGCAUAAAAAGGAUAUUCAUAUACAUAAGUGUAAAAUAACAGAAUCAUAAUACCUACCUUAAUGUCUGGUGGGAAACUGGCCACAAGAUCUAAAUCCUCAAUAAUAUCCUCAAGAUGUUUGCCUAUAAAUCCAAGACACAAGCUUACAAGAGCAGGAGGUUUUCUCUUCUCCAAAGGCGACCCUGUUACACAAACAAAACAAUUAUAAGCAAGCUGAUAGCAGCCCAAUAAAAUACACAUAUUCAAGUUCAAACUAAACCAAAAAAAACUGAAAUCCGUCAGCAACAAUCAGAAACUUCUCUUCAAAAUUUAUCUCAGCCUACUAAAUUGCGAAAUAUGAUAUUCAUCGUUUCCAUCGAAACUCGAAAGAUAAAGGAAACACAUUCAUACAUAACACGAACAUUUGGAUAUGAAUCUACAUACUCCCUUGCCCUUAUGUUCAGCUAGUGUGUUACCCUUAUAAAGAAAUUACAAGAUUUCAAGAUAACUAGCCUAAUAGAAAUUCAUGUUCACUACAGCUCUUAUGUGUAUAAACAAUUAGAAAACGAGAAUUAGUAUAUAGAAACUCAUAGGAAGAUAGCAGCAAAGGAUUAUAAUUCUUGGCCAACUUGUUAGGGUUCCUGGAAUUGAAAGUCAAAUCAAUAUUUUGAAAGGAUCUCUGUAUGGCUUCCAAACCCUUUCCUUUAUCCAUCAAAUGAUGCAAGGAAGGAGAAAUGGCAUGUUGGGAUCAUGCGAGUAUGGAGUACCUGUUUAGCGUCGAGUUUGACUCCGAGUGUAGAACAGAGGUGCGUCAAUGGGAGGGUGUGGAGGACGAUGGACCGACGACGAUGGACCGCCGACCUAUAAAAAGAAGUUGAUUGUCACUCAAUCGAUUCACUUAUCUGAUCAUGCGAGUAUGGAGUACCUGCUUGGCUUCGAGUUUGACUUCGAGUGGAGAGCAGAGGUGCGUCAAUGGGAGGGCGUGGAGCGACAAUAGACCGGCGACGACGGUCCGGCGACGAUGGGUCGGCGGCGAUCGGGCGAUGGACUGGAGAUGUGUAUCGAUUCAGGGCAAAAGAGAUGUGUUGAGUUAAUUUAGGGCACA
RNAcentral lists this long non-coding RNA (2655 nucleotides) under Lactuca sativa (garden lettuce). Its description in RNAcentral is "long non-coding RNA (LSAT_LNC003469)". The record is from RNAcentral. Lineage: Eukaryota; Viridiplantae; Streptophyta; Magnoliopsida; Asterales; Asteraceae.